CCUGAGAAACCCGAAAGAUCGAAGGGGGAGAUUCACCGUCAGCGACGAAGGCUUCUCGUCGGCUCGUCGCGCGCUCCCGCGGCCACCCCUCGCGGGGUGCGUCGCGUGCGUAGUCGCGCGGCGUCCUUCGUGCGCGCGCGCCAUCGAGCGCGCGCGUCUAUGCCCGACGGCGUCGGCGUGCACUUCUCCCCUAGUAGAACGUCGCGACCCGCUGAGCGCCGGUCUACGGCCCGGUGCGUCGCCUGUCCCGCCGUCCCUGGUGGCGUCGCGGGGCAGACGCCCGGUGCACCAUCCCGACCGGCUGCCCGGCGGUAUCACUCGCAAGGUACUCUGGCCGCAAGUGCGCGCGUUCCGCGCGCGCACCGUGCGUCCUUCGAAAAAGGCUCGCCGCAAGCGCGGUCAGUUACACGCAAAACCCGUGUCUGUACGGACGACUACACGCCGUCGCCGGGGCUGACCCGCUGUUCGCUGCGCGAUGUCCUCGGACAGGCAUGUGUAGUACCGGUCAGCGACGCUAUUGCUUCGGGUACUUUCAGG
This 537-nucleotide ribosomal RNA is filed under the name Evaniella sp. 192. Its description in RNAcentral is "eukaryotic LSU rRNA". Lineage: Eukaryota; Metazoa; Arthropoda; Insecta; Hymenoptera; Evaniidae. The record is from RNAcentral.